RNAcentral lists this ribosomal RNA (433 nucleotides) under uncultured bacterium. RNAcentral describes it as "partial 16S ribosomal RNA". It matches the Rfam family "Bacterial small subunit ribosomal RNA", at positions 29 to 507 of the family's 1533-position model. The record is from RNAcentral.
AACGAACGCUGGCGGCAUGCCUAACACAUGCAAGUCGAACGAGACCUUCGGGUCUAGUGGCGCACGGGUGCGUAAAGCGUGGGAACCUGCCCUUAGGUUCGGAAUAACUCCCCGAAAGGGGUGCUAAUACCGGAUAAUGUUUUCGGACCAAAGAUUUAUCGCCUUUGGAUGGGCCCGCGUUGGAUUAGCUAGUUGGUAGGGUAAAAGCCUACCAAGUCGACGAGCCAUAGCUGGUCUGGGAGGAGGAUCAGCCACACUGGGACUGAGACACGACCCAGACUCGAGCGAGAGGCAGCAGUUGGUAAUAUUGGACAGUGGGCGAAAGCCUGAGACAGCAAGGCCGGGUGAGUGGUGAAGGCCUUAGGGUUGUAUAGCUCUUUUACCCGAGAUGAUAAUGACAGUACCGGGAGAAUAAGCACCGGCUAACUCCGUG